GACGAGAACCAUGGCCUGAGUUCUGGGGCACCUCCAACACUAGGAAUUCAGUUGUGAGAGAGGGACCAGCAAAGAAAAUUGAGGAGAAAAACAAGAGAGUGAGCUAGCCUGAAAGCCAACUAAAGAAAGUAGAGUCAAGAAGGAAGGAGCUGUUAGAUGAAAUAAGAUCUAAAAUUGCCACUGGAUUCUGCAACAUUGAAGUCAUAAGUGAUCUCGACAAGAAGAGACUCAUUGCCAAGGUGGAGCUGAAAACCUGAUUGGAGAGGAGUUAAGAAAGAAUUGGAGGACAGAGCAAAUUUAGACAACUCUUUCAUUGAGUUUUCCUACAAAAAGAAGCAAAAUACUGUGAUAGUAACUGACAGAACAAAGUAUGUCAUCUCAGGAAUUUUUGCAAUAGAAGCAGAGAAAAAGUGUUCCCCAAAGUUGUUGGCAUGUACCAUAAAGGUGAACAUCCACAGUCUUGCUGUUGCAAUGAUUGGUCUAGUUAUAACUUUAACUGAAAUUACACUAUUUUUACUGAACCAAGUAGAGCUUCAAUGGGCACACAAAAGUGGAAUUAUUCUUUCUGUGUAUUUGUGUAUAUUUGCCAUCUUGGAAUUUUACAUUGCAAAUACAGUGGCCAGAUGGGGAAUCCAAGCAUCUCAGCAUGGCAGCUAUUCCAUAUAAUCUCCUGGGUUUAGGGCAACAGCAGUCUUGGAAUUCAAACUCACUCACAACUGACUGAAAGUGGAUCAACCUGUGAUCUGAUAUGAAAGAAGGAAUGAAAAUAAAGAACUCAUAUUGUGUGAAGAAAUGAGGGCCUUGCCGGAGAAACUCAGGUUGAGCUGUGGACUGGUUGUUGGAAUAGAAGGACUACAACCUGGCAAUUCAGCAUUUACUGAACCCUCUCCAGGAUCUUUGGGAUUUGAGUGAUGCAUAUUGAAAAAAAUCUGAAAUAAAGGAAAACUUCUCAAAGGGA
Eptesicus fuscus (big brown bat) is the source of this 958-nucleotide RNA transcript. It is a transcript of the gene named membrane-spanning 4-domains subfamily A member 12-like, with no coding region annotated. NCBI's taxonomy places the organism in Eukaryota, Metazoa, Chordata, Mammalia, Chiroptera, Vespertilionidae. The record is from RefSeq and is a predicted model, not a curated record. The transcript is spliced from 5 exons.